GAGGAAUAUUGGUCAAUGGGCGCGAGCCUGAACCAGCCAAGUAGCGUGCAGGAUGACGGCCCUAUGGGUUGUAAACUGCUUUUGUAUGGGGAUAAAGUCAAUCACGUGUGAUUGUUUGCAGGUACCAUACGAAUAAGGACCGGCUAAUUCCGUGCCAGCAGCCGCGGUAAUACGGAAGGUCCGGGCGUUAUCCGGAUUUAUUGGGUUUAAAGGGAGCGUAGGCCGGAGAUUAAGUGUGUUGUGAAAUGUAGACGCUCAACGUCUGACUUGCAGCGCAUACUGGUUUUCUUGAGUACGCACAACGUUGGCGGAAUUCGUCGUGUAGCGGUGAAAUGCUUAGAUAUGACGAAGAACUCCGAUUGCGAAGGCAGCUGACGGGAGCGCAACUGACGCUUAAGCUCGAAGGUGCGGGUAUCGAACAGGAUUAGAUACCCUGGUAGUCCGCACAGUAAACGAUGGAUGCCCGCUGUUGGUACCUGGUAUCAGCGGCUAAGCGAAAGCAUUAAGCAUCCCACCUGGGAGUACGCCGGCAACGGUG
RNAcentral lists this ribosomal RNA (538 nucleotides) under uncultured bacterium. RNAcentral's name for it is "bacterial SSU rRNA". It matches the Rfam family "Bacterial small subunit ribosomal RNA", at positions 356 to 896 of the family's 1533-position model. The record is from RNAcentral.